UUCGAUCUUUCAUUUAUCAUCUAUACCAGUUUUGGUCUACAAGUCAAAAGGUUCUUGAGCAUACCACUUCACCAUAAAUAAAUCAAGUGACCCCGCUUACAAAUACCAAGCUCAUAUUCUUAGCAGGCAUCGAAAAAUAACCCUAUGUGUCUGCGGCAUGAAUUGUAAUCAAGAAGCAAAACACAAUUGCUCAACUUAAUCAAAUAAAUUGAUUGGUACUACCUUCAUGAGACAUUACUUGAGAAAUCGAAUAGAAGAGGGCAUCAUCAUUUCCUCGGUGAUCAAUGUUUCGGCUAAAGCAUGUGGGAGACAUCAACAUCAAACAAAUGGGGAAUGUAAUUCACUAGGGUAAUUUAAUUUGCAAGGAAUGAACUAGUGAUUUGUUGCUGGUGCCUCAAUACUAUUUUUUUCACAUAAACUCGCCCAAUAAUCAUAGGCAUGGAUAAGCCAACAAACCAAUUGACUUGCUAGAAAAUUCAACAAGCAAUAGAUCUGAAUCAAUUGUAAUCUGGAGAGAUGGAACCGAUUAACUGGAGAGAAGCCAGCAUAACUGCUAGGGAAAGGCUGGAAGAGUAGCAGAUCCGGAUUAGGCCCAGCGCCUUCUCCAGGGGCUGCUCCUGCUAGUGCAUCAGCAGUCCGGCACCCCUCGUAUCACCAUCUCCACCAUAAUUUCACAUUGCCAACAGGGUCAACAUUUUUUCAGUAAACUGCAGCCGAUGGCUUAAGUCAGAACAAAAGAGGUUGAAUGUAAAACCUCAAAUGGAAACUCACCGGCCACCAACGGAUCCAGACCUGGCUGCAGCCCCCUAAUUGCUGCGCGCAGCCGGCGCUUCCACACUCCGCGGCAGCAGCAUCAGAGGGACCGGAUCCGACUGCUCCAAGCUGUUCGCGAACUCCUCCCAGCGUGGGAAC
This 912-nucleotide long non-coding RNA is filed under the name Triticum aestivum (bread wheat). RNAcentral describes it as "long non-coding RNA (TAES_LNC025664)". Lineage: Eukaryota; Viridiplantae; Streptophyta; Magnoliopsida; Poales; Poaceae. The record is from RNAcentral.